CCUGAACGCUGGCGGCGUGGCUAAGACAUGCAAGUCGCACGGGCGUAGCAAUACGUCAGUGGCGGACGGGUGAGUAAUGAAUCGCUAACGUGCCCCGGACUCUGGGAUAGCCAGCCGAAA
Molecule: ribosomal RNA, 120 nt
Filed under: uncultured bacterium
Lineage: Bacteria
Description: partial 16S ribosomal RNA
Rfam family: Bacterial small subunit ribosomal RNA
Source: RNAcentral